Molecule: ribosomal RNA, 254 nt
Filed under: uncultured bacterium
Lineage: Bacteria
Description: partial 16S ribosomal RNA
Rfam family: Bacterial small subunit ribosomal RNA
Source: RNAcentral
UACGGAGGGUGCGAGCGUUGUCCGGAAUCAUUGGGCGUAAAGGGCGCGUAGGUGGCGGCUUAAGCGUGCGGUGAAAGCUCGGGGGCUCAACCCCGAGUCGGCCGUGCGAACUGAGUCGCUUGAGCACUGUAGAGGCAGGCGGAAUUCCGGGUGUAGCGGUGGAAUGCGUAGAGAUCCGGAAGAACACCGGUGGCGAAGGCGGUGAGCUGGGCAGUAGCUGACACUGAGGCGCGACAGCGUGGGGAGCAAACAGG